The sequence is a transfer RNA, 88 nucleotides long. It matches the Rfam family "tRNA". From Rfam's summary of the family: Transfer RNA (tRNA) molecules are approximately 80 nucleotides in length. Their secondary structure includes four short double-helical elements and three loops (D, anti-codon, and T loops). The record is from Rfam.
GGAGAGUUGGCAGAGUGGUAAUGCAGCGGACUCGAAAUCCGCCGAACCGGCUAUAACCGGCGCGCAGGUUCAAAUCCUGUACUCUCCU